Molecule: non-coding RNA, 32 nt
Filed under: Geobacter sulfurreducens KN400
Lineage: Bacteria; Pseudomonadati; Thermodesulfobacteriota; Desulfuromonadia; Geobacterales; Geobacteraceae
Source: RNAcentral
CUCAUCGUCCCCGUGGCUGCCCUGCACAACGU